This 479-nucleotide ribosomal RNA is filed under the name uncultured bacterium. RNAcentral describes it as "partial 16S ribosomal RNA". It matches the Rfam family "Bacterial small subunit ribosomal RNA", at positions 28 to 507 of the family's 1533-position model. The record is from RNAcentral.
GAUGAACGCUAGCGGGAGGCCUAACACAUCCAAGCCGAGCGGUAUUUGUUCUUCGGAACAGAGAGAGCGGCGCACGGGUGCGGAACACGUGUGCAACCUGCCUUUAUCUGGGGGAUAGCCUUUCGAAAGGAAGAUUAAUACCCCAUAAUAUAUUGAGUGGCAUCAUUUGAUAUUGAAAACUCCGGUGGAUAGAGAUGGGCACGCGCAAGAUUAGAUAGUUGGUGAGGUAACGGCUCACCAAGUCAAUGAUCUUUAGGGGGCCUGAGAGGGUGAUCCCCCACACUGGUACUGAGACACGGACCAGACUCCUACGGGAGGCAGCAGUGAGGAAUAUUGGACAAUGGGUUAGCGCCUGAUCCAGCCAUCCCGCGUGAAGGACGACGGCCCUAUGGGUUGUAAACUUCUUUUGUAUAGGGAUAAACCUACUCUCGUGAGAGUAGCUGAAGGUACUAUACGAAUAAGCACCGGCUAACUCCGUG